Molecule: ribosomal RNA, 496 nt
Filed under: uncultured bacterium
Lineage: Bacteria
Description: partial 16S ribosomal RNA
Rfam family: Bacterial small subunit ribosomal RNA
Source: RNAcentral
GGGGGGGGGGGGGGGGGGGGUGGUGGGGGGAGGUCGGGGGGAGGGGGGGGGGGCGUGGUCCUCUGACGUUAGCGGCGGGGGGGUGAGGAACACGUGGAUAACCUACCUAUAAGACGGGGAUAACUUCGGGAAACCGGAGCUAAUACCGGAUAAUAUCUUGAACCGCAUGGUUCAAUAGUGAAAGACGGUUUUGCUGUCACUGAUAGAUGGAUCCGCGCCGCAUUAGCUAGUUGGUAAGGUAACGGCUUACCAAGGCAACGAUGCGUAGCCGACCGGAGAGGGUGAUCGGCCACACUGGAACUGAGACACGGUCCAGACUCCUACGGGAGGCAGCAGUAGGGAAUCUUCCGCAAUGGGCGAAAGCCUGACGGAGCAACGCCGCGUGAGUGAUGAAGGUCUUCGGAUCGUAAAACUCUGUUAUUAGGGAAGAACAAAUGUGUAAGUAACUAUGCACGUCUUGACGGUACCUAAUCAGAAAGCCACGGCUAACUACGUG